AUUGAACGCUGGCGGCAUGCCUUACACAUGCAAGUCGAACGGCAGCACGGGUGCUUGCACCUGGUGGCGAGUGGCGAACGGGUGAGUAAUACAUCGGAACAUGUCCUGUAGUUGGGGAUAGCCCGGCGAAAGCCGGAUUAAUACCGCAUACGAUCUACGGAUGAAAGCGGGGGACCGUCGGGCCUCGCGCUAUAGGGUUGGCCGAUGGCUGAUUAGCUAGUUGGUGGGGUAAAGGCCUACCAAGGCGACGAUCAGUAGCUGGUCUGAGAGGACGACCAGCCACACUGGGACUGAGACACGGCCCAGACUCCUACGGGAGGCAGCAGUGGGGAAUUUUGGACAAUGGGCGAAAGCCUGAUCUAGCAAUGCCGCGUGUGUGAAGAAGGCCUUCGGGUUGUAAAGCACUUUUGUCCGGAAAGAAAUCCUUGGCCCUAAUACGGUCGGGGGAUGACGGUACCGGAAGAAUAAGCACCGGCUAACUACGUG
This 486-nucleotide ribosomal RNA is filed under the name uncultured bacterium. RNAcentral describes it as "partial 16S ribosomal RNA". It matches the Rfam family "Bacterial small subunit ribosomal RNA", at positions 30 to 507 of the family's 1533-position model. The record is from RNAcentral.